Centrocercus urophasianus (Greater sage-grouse) is the source of this 196-nucleotide long non-coding RNA. RefSeq lists it as uncharacterized. The record is from RefSeq and is a predicted model, not a curated record. The transcript is spliced from 3 exons. NCBI's taxonomy places the organism in Eukaryota, Metazoa, Chordata, Aves, Galliformes, Phasianidae.
GAAGACUUGGUUUUCUAGAUGAAAUGAAAAAUCUUUUCCACUUACGAAUUCCUUGUCCAUUAUUGGCAGUGAAGGUGAGACUAUCUCCCUGGAGAUCUCUGCUUAUGGCCUUCUGAAGGUGAAGGAAUGUCUGAUACAGCUCUGCAGCUAUAGAUGCUGCAGAAUUUCUGGCUACAUUUAAGAAUGGAAGUAAAAA